AGCAGCCGCGGUAAUUCCAGCUCCAAUAGCGUAUAUUAAAGUUGUUGCAGUUAAAAAGCUCGUAGUCGAAUUUCGGGAUUAAUUUACUGGUCGUGCUAUUGUACGUACUGGUUUUAUUGAUUCCUCCCUUCUGACGAACUAUGAUGUCAUUAAUUUGGUGUCAUAGGAAAUCAGGACUGUUACUUUGAAAAAAUUAGAGUGUUUAAAGCAGGCUCACGCUUGAAUACAUUAGCAUGGAAUAACGGAAUAGGACGUUUGAUUCUAUUUUGUUGGUUUCUAGGAUCGACGUAAUGAUUAAUAGGGAUAGUUGGGGGCAUUAGUAUUCAAUUGUCAGAGGUGAAAUUCUUGGAUUUAUUGAAGACUAACUACUGCGAAAGCAUUUGCCAAGGAUGUUUUCAUUAAUCAAGAACGAAAGUUAGGGGAUCGAAGACGAUCAGAUACCGUCGUAGUCUUAACCAUAAACUAUGCCGACUAGGGAUCAGAUGAUGUUAAUUUUUUAAUGACUCAUUCGGCGCCUUAC
RNAcentral lists this small RNA (520 nucleotides) under uncultured Glomus. RNAcentral describes it as "SSU rRNA". It matches the Rfam family "Eukaryotic small subunit ribosomal RNA", at positions 569 to 1091 of the family's 1831-position model. Lineage: Eukaryota; Fungi; Glomeromycota; Glomeromycetes; Glomerales; Glomeraceae. The record is from RNAcentral.